UGUUGCCUACGGGGCGCAGCAGUGAGGAAUAUUGGUCAAUGGUCGGGAGACUGAACCAGCCACGCCGCGUGAGGGAGGAAGGUACAGAGUAUCGUAAACCUCUUUUGUCAGGGAACAAAGACUGGGACGCGUCCCCGGAUGAGUGUACCUGAAGAAAAAGCAUCGGCUAACUCCGUGCCAGCAGCCGCGGUAAUACGGAGGAUGCGAGCGUUAUCCGGAUUUAUUGGGUUUAAAGGGUGCGCAGGCGGUCUGUUAAGUCAGCGGCCAAAGCCCGGGGCUCAAC
Molecule: ribosomal RNA, 283 nt
Filed under: uncultured bacterium
Lineage: Bacteria
Description: partial 16S ribosomal RNA
Rfam family: Bacterial small subunit ribosomal RNA
Source: RNAcentral